AUGGACGACAACACCAACACCCUUAAGUCCCUCCUGAAAUCGAUCGUCACGCGCCUCGACGAACAGAAACUCGACAGCGACAAACGGCUCGAGGCCCAGGUCGCCUUCAACACCCAGGUAUCCCAGGAUGUGCGCAACCUCAGCAAACGGAUCGACCUUACGCAGGCUGAUGUCGAUGAAGCACGCAAGUCCAUGGAGUGCUCCCCGUCUCCGCGCGGAUCCGGCGCGGUUUUCAACCCGCCGCCACCGCCGCCACUGCGUCCCGCGCCUGCGCCGCAUCACCAAGGCCCACCGCUUUCUCCUCGUCUGGCCGACGAGCGCCCACCCCUGCUGGUUCAAUCACCCGCGCCCGCGCCAGCCGUCACCCAGGCACACAUGGGGGUGAUGGCGCCUCAUCCCCAACAGCAGCCAGACUUCAAUCACCAUCCUCGGCAAGCCUGCGACACCUACAUCAAGCCAUCGAAACAUGACUUCCCUCGUUUCGAUGGCAGUGCACCUUAUCUCUGGUUGGACCGUUGUCGUGCUUACUUCGAUCUAUACAGAGUGCCUGCACACAGCUGGGUGACCACGACUACCUUGUACAUUGAAGGGCAGGCGGCACACUGGCUUCAGGCAUUUUGCCAAGUCCACCAAGGGUUGACGUGGGAAGCCUUUUGCGCAACGAUUACAGAGGAGUUUGGUGUCGAUGAAUUCGAGCUCGAGAUGCACAAAUUACUUCAAUUGCGCCAGAACAGCACUGUGGCAGAGUACAGGCAGAUGUUUGACACCCACAUUUACCAUCUCUUGGCACUGGAUCCAUCUUUGAGUCCCAAAUUUUUCAUCACCCAGUUCCUCCUGGGGCUCAAGGACGAGAUUCGAGCGGCUGUCCGUCUCCAGUCACCCACCAGUAUCACCCGGGCAUCCAUUUUGGCUCGAAUUCAGGAGGACGAGUUGGGUAUGCCGAGAGCGCGCCCACGCCCAACACCUGCAGGCCGACCACCGCCACUCCCAGUUCCUGCACCACCACGCCCGGUGCCCACGGCACGGCCCCAGGGCGACGAGUUUGCUCGGGAACGUCAGCUCAAGGACUUCCGGCACGCAAACGGACUGUGUUUCAAAUGCGGUGACCGCUACUCCAGGGAGCAUCGGUGCAACACUCAGGCCCAGCUUCUCACAAUUCAAGUGGGCAACUAUGGGGAACUCCUCUCCGAUGAUGCCAUCCAUGCAUUGGAACUCCUGGACGAACCAGUGGCUGCUGCACCACAGCCGGAGUGUUGCAUGCUCUCAGCGCACGCUCUGGACGAUUCCGACACCCCCCCCCCACCAUCCGUCUUCGUGCUCUAG
RNAcentral lists this ribosomal RNA (1323 nucleotides) under Triticum aestivum (bread wheat). RNAcentral's name for it is "partial small subunit ribosomal RNA". Lineage: Eukaryota; Viridiplantae; Streptophyta; Magnoliopsida; Poales; Poaceae. The record is from RNAcentral.